This 795-nucleotide ribosomal RNA is filed under the name Halomonas sp. RNAcentral's name for it is "bacterial SSU rRNA". It matches the Rfam family "Bacterial small subunit ribosomal RNA", at positions 132 to 919 of the family's 1533-position model. Lineage: Bacteria; Pseudomonadati; Pseudomonadota; Gammaproteobacteria; Oceanospirillales; Halomonadaceae. The record is from RNAcentral.
GAUAGAGGGGGAUAACGUGGGGAAACUCACGCUAAUACCGCAUACUUCCUACGGGAGAAAGCAGGGGAUCUUCGGACCUUGCGCUAUCGGAUGAGCCUAUGUCGGAUUAGCUAGUUGGUGAGGUAACGGCUCACCAAGGCGACGAUCCGUAGCUGGUCUGAGAGGAUGAUCAGCCACACUGGGACUGAGACACGGCCCAGACUCCUACGGGAGGCAGCAGUGGGGAAUAUUGGACAAUGGGGGAAACCCUGAUCCAGCCAUGCCGCGUGUGUGAAGAAGGCCUUCGGGUUGUUAAGCACUUUCAGCGAGGAAGAAGGCCUGAGGGCUAAUACCCUUCAGGAAGGACAUCCCUCGCAGAAGAAGCACCGGCUAACUCCGUGCCAGCAGCCGCGGUAAUACGGAGGGUGUGAGUGUUAAUCGGAAUUACUGGGCGUAAAGCGCGCGUAGGUGGCUUGAUAAGCCGGUUGUGAAAGCCCCGGGCUCAACCUGGGAACGGCAUCCGGAACUGUCAGGCUAGAGUGCAGGAGAGGAAGGUAGAAUUCCCGGUGUAUCGGUGAAAUGCGUAGAGAUCGGGAGGAAUACCAGUGGCGAAGGCGGCCUUCUGGACUGACACUGACACUGACGUGCGAAAGCGUGGGUAGCAAACAGGAUUAGAUACCCUGGUAGUCCACGCCGUAAACGAUGUCGACUAGCCGUUGGGUUCCUUGAGAACUUUGUGGCGCAUUUAACGCUGAUAAGUCGACCGCCUGGAGAGUACGGGCGCAAGGAUUAACACUUCAAAUGAAUUGACGGGGG